Molecule: long non-coding RNA, 248 nt
Filed under: Elaeis guineensis (African oil palm)
Lineage: Eukaryota; Viridiplantae; Streptophyta; Magnoliopsida; Arecales; Arecaceae
Description: long non-coding RNA (EGUI_LNC004562)
Source: RNAcentral
UCCUUGCCUUCUCACAGUACACUCUCUGCUCUCCCUUGCUCUUCUCAUCUUCCGUUCUGGUUCAUGGCUAGAACAUCUCCAAGAGGAGGUCGGUCGGGGGAUCCGACCGACGACCCUCGGUCGACCCCGGAGGUGGAGGCCUCUUCACUUUCGAGGCCGAACGUCGAUCGGCUCCAGGAGCAAUAUUGCAUCCUGGAGCAAUUUCGGUUGUUCGCCCCUGGUGCCAAUGGUCGGGUCAAUAGCCCGCC